AUGCAUGCUACGAAAGAUAGGAUCGAGUCUGAAACAUCAACCGUCUACUCAAUAUCCUUGUACGAGUCCACAAUCACUACACGAGAUGAACCUUGGUUUGGUGAAUUGAAGUUUGCCUUAGGUGUAAAAAAAAAGGACUCCCAGGUACUGCGCGCGAUCGUAUACUGAGGUGCUCCCCGCCGGUUGUUGGAACGACGCGAGCCGGGCCUCCAUUCAGAAAGAUGAAGGGUCCAAACAAAAGUAAAAAUAGGGGGUUACAAAUUACCCAUCUCAUUGGGGGCGGAAAACGAAUCGACAUCUCGAUGUGAUACAACCUUUUCUAUUUUUGUUGGGAAAGAACGGCGAAGUCCAUCCGAACCGUCCAAUGAGGAAUAA
This is a non-coding RNA of Vicia faba (fava bean), 375 nucleotides long. Lineage: Eukaryota; Viridiplantae; Streptophyta; Magnoliopsida; Fabales; Fabaceae. The record is from the annotation of a GenBank genome assembly.